This 501-nucleotide ribosomal RNA is filed under the name uncultured bacterium. RNAcentral describes it as "partial 16S ribosomal RNA". It matches the Rfam family "Bacterial small subunit ribosomal RNA", at positions 28 to 507 of the family's 1533-position model. The record is from RNAcentral.
GACGAACGCUGGCGGCGUGCCUAAUACAUGCAAGUCGAACGAACCGCGACUAAGUGCUUGCACUAAGUCAAGGUGAGUGGCGAACGGGUGAGUAACACGUGGGUAACCUACCUCAUAGUGGGGGAUAACAGUCGGAAACGACUGCUAAUACCGCAUAGGACAUAGGAUCACAUGAUCCAGUGAGGAAAGGUGGCGCAAGCUAUCGCUAAGAGAUGGACCCGCGGUGCAUUAGCUAGUUGGUAGGGUAAGGCCUACCAAGGCGAUGAUGCAUAGCCGACCUGAGAGGGUGAUCGGCCACAUUGGGACUGAGACACGGCCCAAACUCCUACGGGAGGCAGCAGUAGGGAAUCUUCCGCAAUGGACGCAAGUCUGACGGAGCAACGCCGCGUGAGUGAAGAAGGUCUUCGGAUCGUAAAGCUCUGUUGUUAGAGAAGAACAGCGCAUAGAGUAACUGCUAUGCGUGUGACGGUAUCUAACCAGAAAGCCACGGCUAACUACGUG